UCGCGUUAAGGCCUGAAUUAAUGCAUCAAAAUGGGUUUGACGUGCUUGAAGGACAACUCCAUCUAAGUUUUUUUCCAGGUUGUAUAAAUGGAAACGCCCACAGCCGUUAGCAAAAGCAGUGAGGUGGGUUAGAGCACUAAUGCCCCCUGGAGGAGAGAGCUGGGAGCAGAGCUGGAGCAUCAAGACGAAUAACACCUGCAAGUCACAUUGGAUUCUGCUCUGAUCCGGAGCCGUUUACUGGCGGGAGGAGAGUUCAAGAGUUUAUUUUUUAAACUUUGAGCAGCAGCAACAUGCCUCAGAGGGAGCUGGUGCUGCAGCCAGGCCAGGGAGGCAGGAUGUUCCCAUGCUAUGGAGUGUCAGGCAGCUGGCUGGCCCGCAGCCAAGCCAAACCUGUGGCGGCUGGAAGGAGAGCGGCCCAGCACUGAGAUCCAGUUACCAUUUCCUCAAUCACUGAGCAAGAGAGAAAGAGACCUGAUGAGCAGUCUUUCCUGUCUACAGAGAGAUGAUAAAAUGAUAGAUUUGGAGAGCAGGCUCGGCUGUGGGCAAAUGCCCCGCGCCAGCGAAAGAUGAAAGCCGCAUUUCAAAUUUCACUAAGAAAGAUAAACUGCCAAUUCUCUCAUUUCUUCUUCUUCUCCCAACAUGCCCGUCAACCUCCGCCCCCGUGGAAAAGGAGGGAGAGGUGAAAUAGAUGUGUGUACCCCAUAUGGAAGCCAUUCUCCCGUCCCUCUAUUCACUGCUGGGAAUGUUUUGACGUUUUCUGGAGAUGAGCACUGUGAUGUCACACACUGGCACAGUACUGCUGUGUCAGGAAAGAGGAGGAGAAAGAGAGCGAACGGAGAGAGAGGAGGGGUGGCGGUUGGCGGGAGGAGGGGGCAGGAGAGAGCGAAUUGCUGAGCCGCCAGUUUUUUCUCACCACACUGUAAAUUAGCGUGCCGGUUCCUUGAUGGAAAACAUUCGGGGGGCAACACCGAGGGGCCUCCUGAGACCCGAGAAAUGCGAGAGAGCCGUGUUCAGUCAUGGAUGGGGGUUUUGGUGUCCUUUCAGUUAAAAAAGGCCCAUGAACAAAACUUCUCUCCGUCAGGAUGGGUCCCAGCAGAGGAGCAAAAGCCUGAGAGAGAGCAGAUGAGCCCUGCUCUGAAACAGCAGGGGCUGCUUCUAAUAAAGUCUCUACAUACUCCCCCCUUUAUGGAAAAAUCAGAGGCGGUACAAACAGCCCGGCCUCACACUCUGCUGGAGAUAAUUAGGUAAAAAUAGAAGAGUAAUUUCCACUGGUUAAUAUUACACAUCUGUGGUGUUGUCCCACUGACUGUCUCUUGAAGGGGGACAUGCUGCGAGCUUCAGACACACUCCCAAGGCUUUAUUUACCAAUGACACUCCAUGUAAAGCAGAUACACUUACCUCACUGACCUUACUUAAUCAUUGUUGUCAUUCAAAAAUGUUGGAUGUUAAAAAAUAAAGAUGUUUAGUCUAGAAUUUC
Molecule: long non-coding RNA, 1477 nt
Organism: Thunnus maccoyii (southern bluefin tuna)
Lineage: Eukaryota; Metazoa; Chordata; Actinopteri; Scombriformes; Scombridae
Exons: 2
Source: RefSeq, a predicted model, not a curated record